AGAGAAGGGAGGGACGGCUAGAGGCUGCGGGAUGCGGUGCGCUUGGCUCGCGCCUCGAGCAUAUUCUUCUGCCAAUGUACUCACUUCACUUGGAGGAUCUUAGAGCCUGC
Molecule: long non-coding RNA, 110 nt
Filed under: Apteryx rowi (Okarito brown kiwi)
Lineage: Eukaryota; Metazoa; Chordata; Aves; Apterygiformes; Apterygidae
Description: lncRNA (ENSARWG00000012686.1)
Source: RNAcentral